This 336-nucleotide ribosomal RNA is filed under the name uncultured bacterium. Its description in RNAcentral is "partial 16S ribosomal RNA". It matches the Rfam family "Bacterial small subunit ribosomal RNA", at positions 338 to 685 of the family's 1533-position model. The record is from RNAcentral.
CCUACGGGAGGCAGCAGUCGAGAAUCAUUCACAAUGGGGGAAACCCUGAUGGUGCGACGCCGCGUGGGGGAAUGAAGGUCUUCGGAUUGUAAACCCCUGUCAUGUGGGAGCAAAUUAAAAAGAUAGUACCACAAGAGGAAGAGCCGGCUAACUCUGUGCCAGCAGCCGCGGUAAUACAGAGGUCUCAAGCGUUGUUCGGAAUCACUGGGCGUAAAGCGUGCGUAGGCUGUUUCGUCAGUAGUGUGUGAAAGGCGCGGGCUCAACCCGCGGACGGCACAUGAUACUGCUGGACUAGGGUAAUGGAGGGGGAGCCGGAUUUCUGGGUGUAGCAGUAAA